Molecule: ribosomal RNA, 468 nt
Filed under: uncultured bacterium
Lineage: Bacteria
Description: partial 16S ribosomal RNA
Rfam family: Bacterial small subunit ribosomal RNA
Source: RNAcentral
GACGAACGCUGGCGGCGUGCUUAACACAUGCAAGUCGAACGGAAAGGCCCUGCUUUUGUGGGGUGCUCGAGUGGCGAACGGGUGAGUAACACGUGAGUAACCUGCCCUUGACUUUGGGAUAACUUCAGGAAACUGGGGCUAAUACCGGAUAGGAGCUCCUGCUGCAUGGUGGGGGUUGGAAAGUUUCGGCGGUUGGGGAUGGACUCGCGGCUUAUCAGCUUGUUGGUGGGGUAGUGGCUUACCAAGGCUUUGACGGGUAGCCGGCCUGAGAGGGUGACCGGGCACAUUGGGACUGAGAUACGGCCCAGACUCCUACGGGAGGCAGCAGUGGGGAAUAUUGCACAAUGGGCGGGAGCCUGAUGCAGCAACGCCGCGUGCGGGAUGACGGCCUUCGGGUUGUAAACCGCUUUCGCCUGUGACGAAGCGUGAGUGACGGUAAUGGGUAAAGAAGCACCGGCUAACUACGUG